RNAcentral lists this long non-coding RNA (381 nucleotides) under Bos taurus (domestic cattle). RNAcentral describes it as "long non-coding RNA NONBTAT006356". The record is from RNAcentral. Lineage: Eukaryota; Metazoa; Chordata; Mammalia; Artiodactyla; Bovidae.
GUUUGUGUGUGUGUGUGUGAGUGUGGUAAUUACAUAUGUGAUAUUAACAACUGUAUACUCAAUAAAUAAAGAGAAAUAAUAACAUAUUUUCCUCAUUUAUCUAUUAUAUUAAUGAGAUCCAAAUGACAUUUAUUUUGCUUACUGUUAAUCCAGCUAUGAUCUUAGUAAUUGUCUUGUAUAGAAAAUACAGAUUACAAAAAAAAAAGAAAGAAAGAAAAUACAGAUUACAUAAAACACAGAAAUUGAGGAUAGAAAUGUAGAAAUGGGUUUUUCUAUGAACGAGCUUGAAACAGUUGCUAUAUUAUGGCUAGUAUUCUCCUCUCAAGGACAGACAGGGUUUCUAGAACUUUUUGUCAACAUAAAAGACUCUUUCAAAUCUGA